This is a long non-coding RNA of Lutra lutra (Eurasian river otter), 13022 nucleotides long. RefSeq lists it as uncharacterized. The record is from RefSeq and is a predicted model, not a curated record. The transcript is spliced from 2 exons. NCBI's taxonomy places the organism in Eukaryota, Metazoa, Chordata, Mammalia, Carnivora, Mustelidae.
UAAAAGUGAGUUUAGCCACAGCUUUGACGUUAAGAAAUAUAACUAUAUCCCUAUCUAUAUAUAAUUGACAGAACUUAGAUUUAAUACAUUAAAAACUGUUAACAGUGUAAGAUUUGACAGCAGAGGCCUUGUUUCUAAUCAAGAAGUAUUUACAUUGUAUUGAACUAGCACUUAAACUGAAAGUUUAUAAAUUAUUGAGGAUUUUUUAAUGUAAGUUGUUGCAUUUGUUAUCAAGCUUAAACAUAAUUAGCAAAACUAAAAACUGAGAUGCUAUCAUUUAUGGAAAACAUUCAGCAUGGACUAUUGAGAGAAUUUAAGUCAUAUUUAAAUAAUAUUUAUGGUAAGUGGCUGAGACUGUUGGUCUAACAAAAUAUAGAAGGAUCUGAACCAGAGGACAUGUGAAGACAUCUGAAGUAAAAGUCUGUGGCCUGUAGCAGGAAUAUUAUCAUUAGCUCUAAGAUGGUAAGUCAUACUACCUAUCAUCUGAACUUUACCAUCUUAAUAGUUAUUAAUGGAGAAUACAGAACUCUCAAGGUCAGUUAAGAUUAGUGGCAGUAAUCCUGUUUGGUGUUGGAAUGUGUUUACUGGCACUUCAGAUUUGGGUUAUAUCUGUUCUUUACUUUUCCACCAUUUCCUUAAAAUCUGAUUAAGUCUACUUGUUAUGAUUUAGAGCAGGAGAAAGCACCAGCUUAACGCAGCCAUGGCUUCUAUAUAGAGUAAAUAUUUCUAGUUAUUUCUAGGGAUAAGGGAUAUGAAGGUACACUGUUAUUCAAGAUAGUAAUGUUUUAUGAAAUUAACUGAGAACACAAAUGAGCAAAUACUGAACCAUGUGUUCAUAGGGUAAAUAAAGGUUCCUCUGAACCUCUGGGUCAUGUUUUUAUCAGCCAGUCAAUAUUUAACCUUGUCUGUCUUUACUUAGAAAGACACCUUGAUUCAUUAACGUUAAACUUAGAGCCAGCACUAACUCCUGUCAUUACAUCACAGCCUUCUUGUGUUUAGGAACAUUAGGCAGCUUUUCACUAGGCUUGAAGGCCAUCUUAAACAGGAAAAUCACCAAUAAGCACAAAAAUGUGAAAAACUCAGCAUUAACUGGACCACAGAAGGGAUGUUUAUCUACAGUAUGAAAAAAUAAGGCAAGCAUAACUAUGGGCAUUGGGUGAUUUAAAAUUUUCACCACUCUGAAUGUCCAUGAAUGAGCAGCAAAGUACCUUGAGUACUGAUUUUGGGAUUACAAAUAUUAGCAAAUAGAUGAAUUUGCAAGUAAGAUUAUCUGCUAAUAAUGAGGCUCUAUUUUGUCUUUUGUUUCAGUCUUUUGGACUAAUCAAAUUUCUUUAAGAAGAGAUAUUAUCAAUUAAAAGUUAAAAUCAAAUUUUUUAAAGACAAAUAGGACCUAUGGGCUAAUAUACCCAGGGGCAAUGAAGCAUUAACCCUAAAAGAGAAAACGUCAUGUAGUGGGUAUAUUUUCAGGUGUUUAAUGCAAAUAGCAGCACACCUGUUUUAAAGCAACUAUUAAGACAAUGAAAAAUACUUCAAAAUAACAGGAACACAACAGAGCACAUUUCUGUCAUAGUAAUGUUUUAUUUCCUCUAGGCUUACCUUUAAGUAGAAGAAUCCACAGUUCAUUGUAGAUUAUGAGCCAAACCUACCAUUUUUCUUGGGGAAAAAAGUCACUUGUGUGAGGGGUCUAGAACAUACUGGGUAACUGGUUCAAGUAUGAUCUGUGUGAGAGCGCCUUCAUCUUUCAAUGUUUUUUUUUUUUUUAAAUACUUGGUGUAAUGUUAUUGACUACUUACAGUGUACUAGCGUUGUGCUAUAAGCAAACAGUUAAGUAUGUUUUACAAGUAAGGAAACAAUAUUCAGUGAAGUUAAGUAAUGCUGAUCUUUCUCAAACCUAAAGUCCACAUGUUGUUAACCUGCGCUGUGAUACGUGUCACAAACUUGGUAACCAGGGAUGUAUCCCUUGGUGGUAAUGAAAUUUGAGUCUGAGAGUUGUCAUUACACCUUUGGCAUAGGGUCUUUUUAUCAGUAGGUACUCAGACUUUUUCUUCUUCAAGGGGGAGGUAGGUAUGCACACAGCACUAACAGAUAGGAGGUGCAGGUUUCAAGUCAAACUUAGUAAUAGCCAGGCUUUGAGUAUACUACCUAUAUGCUUAGGCCUCUGCCUUCCCAUUGGUUAAUGGCCAACUUAAAAAGUGAAGGUUCCUCCACAUUUUAUGGGUAGGGAACCAAAAAGAAAAAAUUAUUUCAGAGGUUACUCUGAACUAAUGAAACUGUAAGCAAGCCCAGGGGUCUUCUCCAAUUUACUGUGUUCAUUUGUAACACGGUUCUCCCUAUAUUAGUCUUGAAUAUGUAGGUUAUAAGAAAUUCCUACCCACAGCCUUAAUGUUAGAUCUCACAAAGCAGAGAUUUAGUUCCCCUUCUUUGUCCACUCCAUUUUGCCUUCCCUGCUUCUGGGUUGACAUUACUAUAGGAGUCCUAUGCUGCUUUGUAAAAAACUGCUUUGCUGGUAAUUAAAGUGGGCUAUAAUGAGUGGUCCUGGAAGUUAAAUCUUUUCCCACUCUUAGAAUUUUAGGAAAAUUAUCUUGCCUUCAAGAUUUCCAAAUGAUGGGAAUACCUAUUGAAGGAUUAAAAAAAAAAAAGUAUAGUUAUAUAAAUCAGCAUCCCAGAAACACCCAAACCAUUUAAGAAACAACAGAAACAAUUGAGAACUUGUAUGAAAACCGGUGGAGAGCUGCCUGAGUGGCUCAGUUGUUAAACCUCUGCCUUUAGCUCAGGUCAUGAUCCCAGGGGUCCUGGGAUUGGGCCCCGUACUGGGCUCCCUGCUCAGCAGGAAGCCUGCUUCUCUCUUUCCCACUCUGAUUGUGUUCCCUCUCUAUGUCAAAUAUAUAAAUAAAAAAUCUUAAAAAAAAAAAGGUGGAAUACUCCUAUAUUCUAAUUUUAGAAGCUUGAUUAAAGGUUUUCUCUACUAACCUUAGUUUAUAGCGAAAGCAAAAAGGGUAGCUAGAAAAAGGCAGCUAGAAAACCACUAAUUGGAAGGUAUUAGAUUAACAUCUUACUAACACAAGAGUAAAAUCCUAAGCAUGUUGAACUGUGCCACACUAAAAAGCUGUACUCAGCAUAUUGAAAAUGUAUGCCCUACCUUAAAACCCUGCAUCAGAAAUCUUUAAAAAAUUCAGUCAGGCAGGGGCACCUGAGUGGCUCAGUGGAUUAAGCCUCUGCCUUCGGCUCAGGUCAUGAUCUAAGGGUCCUGGGAUCAAGCCCCACAUCGGGCUCUCUGCUCAGCAGGGAGCCAGUUUCCCCCCUCCUCCCCACCUGCCUCUCUGCCUACUUGUGAUCUGUCAAAUAAAUUAAAAAAAAAAAAAUUCAGUCAGGCAUAAUGGAUCAUUUAGAAUUGGAAAGUCAUGUUUUAAGUUUCCACAGUUCUGGCUAGAAUACCGAAUUCUGUUCAAAUGGGAGAAGAGUAGAAUAGAAAAAAAAUAAACUUGAGGUAAAGUACAAAAACACUAUUUAAAAUGCUAGAGUGGGUUUUGGUUAUAGAAAGAAUCCUAAACUGAGAAUAACACUGAGUACCAGGAAACUUCAAUGACCUAAGCUCUGCUUUUAUUAUUUUGGCACUGUUGUUCAGGUUUCACUGUGUCUGCUUACAGCUAAAUGUUGCCUUAGGAACAGGAUAUAGGAAGAGCUUCUAUACAGGGGCACCUGAGUGGCUCAAGACAUCCAACCCUUGGUUUCAGCUCAGGUCAUGAUCUCAUGGUUAAGGGAUCAAGCAGAGUCUGCUUUAAGAUUCUCUCCUCCUGUCUCUGCCCACACUUUCACUACCAGAUAAAUCUUUAAAAAAAAAAAAAAAAAAGAGGAGCUUCUUAUCCAGUGUUAUCAAUUAGUCCAAUUACUAUGGACAAAGUCCAUAGUAUUUAGUGUUUAGGUAUAAUCUGGAUUAUGUUAACACUUGCUGUUACUUCAUUCAGUACAGUUACAGUUAAUGGAAUUUCAAACAUAACGUUGAGAUUCUUUCUUUACAAUCUGAUAAUGGCAGGUCAAAAAAUGAAACUCAACCAGGCUGAGGCAAAAGCUCCAGGCAACAAGACAAAUUCAUUUAUCUACAAAAAACUACUCUCUGUAAUACUCUUUUUAAAAAAAAAAAAAAAUUACUUUUGACAGUCCAAGUAAAAGAGGUACAAGACAUUUGGAAAAUAUCUGUAAUUUCAUUCCAAGAAAAAUAUACCAAUCACUGAAACACAAAUUUAAGAAGCUAUUCACUAGUAUACUUAAUAGUGAGGCUUUAAGACUGGUAAUGUCAGUGAAAAAUAUUCUUGCCUUUGUUUUUCUGUCCUUAAGAUUGCCUACAACAUUGGGAAUGUCUGGGUUAGGUACACAAACUCCCAAUUCUGUACACCUUUAUCUACAAUCUUCAGAUUAUUAGAGGAAGAAAGAGGCAAGGCAAAUGGACUGGUAGAAAUCCUCUUACAAAGAUUAUAGCUUGCAUCAUAGCUUAUACCUUAUUUGAGUACUUGUAGUAGUAAUAUGGAAGGUACAGAUGAUUCUGAAUCCAAAGCAAUCCACUGAUAAAAUAAUAAACCCUUCUUACAAAAUAUAUUUCCUUAAAGAAUGUACAUCCCUCAUCGAGAAAUAAGGGAUUUAUUUUCUGGAUGAUUAGGCUCUUACUUGGAUUUGUAGAGUAUAUGAUCAUACUUAAAAAUGUAUUUAGGUUGAGCCAUAGGAAAUUGUCACUUUUCGUGGGUCAAAAAUGGUCCACUACUGGCAAUUUCCUAUGGCUUAACAUAACUGACUUAUUUUCAGUCAACAGUUGAGUGCAACUUCAAAUUACUACCACUUGGCAAAGUUUAACUAAUAUAGACUGUGACUGUUAUAUUGCAAAUCCUGAAAUAAAACCCCAAUAUUAUCAAAGGUUGUAACUACUAUCCGUUCAAGAACACUUCCUAAUAACUAAAAAUUUUAAAACGGAAUCACCAAAUUCACUAUACCAGAUAAUCUUUUAAAAGGUAUUGGGGAUCCAAACCGUAACAGCAGAGAAAGGAAACUGAGUGAGGCUUCACACCAAAUAUCUUUUGCCUUUUGGAAUUUUGUCAAACACACAAAUCCGGUUCAAAUUCAAGUUCCUUGAGGCCUUCUAGAAAAUCCAAGUGUAAAGUCUGCUUUACCCUCAUCCCAAUAGUCAUCCAACACAGGACUUACUUCAUUAUAGCUAAUUGUCCAUUCAUCUGUCCUUAUAAACUAAGCUCAUUGUAGGCAUAGCCUAUGAGAAAACUAGGUUGCUUUCAACUUCAAAAAAAGGCGUAUCUGUGGGAAGACAAAUGAAUUUCCCAAUCUAACUGCAACAUUUAGUUUAUAUGCCAACUCUACAGAGACCUUUCUCAAGUUACACAUUCAACUCACAGAAAACAAUACCUACAAACACUUGUGACUUAGCAUGAAGAUGAUGGAUCCCAGCAACAAAAGAAUGGCUAACAUGGAGACCUGGAAUACAAAAAAAUACCAGCUACUUUGCCUCUUCCUCACUAGUCAUCUGUUCUUAGAUUACUUACAUAUACCUGUACUUUUUUUUUUUUUUUUUUUUUUUUUUUUUUUGCAAAAUCAUUCAAGUGACCUCCCUCAGCCUGGUUCUAAGUAAUGCCUUUUAGGUUUUCAUGAACUCACCAGUUUGAUGUGCUGCUUCUCAACUCCACAUUAAAAUACACAACUACUUAAAAACUGGUAUACUCCUACUAUAAUUUUACCAACAGUGACUCAGCUAUCAACAAAACCCAUUUACACCAUUUUGCAAAAGUCUUAAGCCCACUUAAGGCUUUAAAAAGGUGAUUCCAGGGCACCUGGCUAUCUCAGUUGGGAGGGUAUGUAACUCAAUCUCAGGGUUGAGAGUGAGUCACACAUUGGGUAUAGACAUUAAAAAUAAAAUCUAUAAAAAUGAAUAAAAAGGUGAUGCCAAACAAAAAUACUAGGCUUCCCAAGGUUUCAGGAAAAGAUUUUUGCCCCCAUGUAAUCUUAAUAAACUUCUGUGUCUGACUUCACAUAAGUAUACUGAACAACGUGAGGGCUGCACAAGACCUUUAUUUUUUAUUUAUUUAUUUUUUUUGCCUGAGUGUCUUUUAACAUGUCCUAACUUACCAGUAAGUUUUCCCAUAGCAACAUCUUACUUAACUGGUGUAGUAGUAGCCAAAAAAGAUAUACGCCUCAAAAUAAUUGGAAGGCUAACUGAAUCAACAAUGGUUACUACCUUCAGGGAGUGGGCCUUUUCACUUCUAAAUCAAAGUAUAUUGUAUUUAUCCCACAAAAAGCCUGUUAUAGGGAGUGUCUGGUGCUCACAGUUACCCAUCCAACUGGACUUUGGCUCAAGACAUGACCUCAAAGUUAGGAGCUCAAAGCAUCAGGCUCUGCUGGCCCUGUGAAGCCUGCUUAAGAUUCUCAUUCUCUCUGCUCCUCCCGCUCUCUUGGGAAAAAAAGGCAAGCCUAUUAUGGUUCUACAAUACACAAGCCAUGAGGUUUAGUCACUUGUAAAUAAUGAAAUCUUGAUACUUCUUUCCUAGAAUAUGGUUACUCAAGAACUGCUUGCACGAUGCCCAUUUUCUGAGAUGGUUUUACAUUACUUUCUCAAUGAAACAAUCUUUAUGAAAGAAUAUUAGUAAAAUCUAUUCUACGUGAAAGAAAACAAGAAAUCAUUUUUUAUUUAUAUUGUAUUUAUCAAUUUGGGAAUUAAUUCUCAUACCUUAUAAUUUAUCUAUAACUCUGUUACUGAAGAGAAGAAAAAAAGGCUAACAAUUAUACUUCUAACCUUUAAUGAUUUAAAAAAGGUGACUGUGGGUUAAGUUUUUAAAAAUCAGAAUAAGAAUUAUUUGAUACUGCUACUCAAAAUUCAACGACUGCCCUAUUCAUACCACAUCUUACUUAUAAAUUCUGUUACUAGGGUUUUAGGAAAAAGCAUGUUAAUACCAUCACAUCUUAACUUCAGUGAUAAUAAAUUUGAGGUCGGGGUUAUAUGGACACUGCCCUGGCAAAUACAUUUUUAGCAGUACCUUGAAAUGUCUUUCAGUCAUUAUAAAUUAACUAAAAUCACUCAACAGUUUUAUGUAUAUAACAAACUAAGAUUAUGCACAUAAAAAACACUUUUCAAAUACCAAAUGACAAGACAGAAAGGACUGUCUUUCUUGCUCAGGGGUCUAUGUAUUUCUAUGGGGGGAAAAAAACCCUCCACCAUAAAUCCAAAUGUGGAUUUACUUUACCCUCCAGUAAAUCCACAUCUGAUAUGACCUCACAUAUAUCUGCAUAAUUAUUUUAUCAUUGUUACUCUGAACACACUUUAUGUGAAGUGUUUAUCUUCCUAAAAUUAAGCCAUGUGGCUAAAAUACAUACAAAAAAUACAAUCAUUAACAUGACACCCUUCAAAAUUACUUGAGAAUCAGAAACCAAGUUAAUGGUCUACUAUUUAAAAAUUGCUCACCAUAAUUAUUUUAUAAAAAUAAUUUUUAAUAAAUUAUCAAAGGCCAAAACUAAAUUCUGGAUUUACCCAAGUGCCUUCCAAAAGUUGCCUUUGAUAAGAUUAUAAAGACUUUACUAGUAUCAAAUGUAUGAUCAAUUCCCUAAGCCAAUCUAUUCUAACAGACUAAAUUUUAAGUGCUAAGAUUUCAAAGGAUGCAUUACAAAAUGAUUAACUAACCAAUUAAUAUUUUAAUACUAUUUAUGAGCAAGUGUAAAUGCUUUUUAAAAAGCAAUCAACUAUUCUAGACUAUUAAUAGCUCCAACUACUUUGCUACAUUUGGUAUAAAAAGUAGAAAGUUAAAAAUCAGCAAAUGGAAGAUCAAAGUUUAUUUACUACCUGCAUACAAAAACAUAUUGCACAUCAAACAACCAAAAUCAAAAAAAAAAAAAAAAAAAAAAAAAAAAAAAGAGAGAGAGAGAGUAAAGAAAAAGAGAAAAAAGGAAAAGAUUCUCUACUGAAGACUAACAUGUACUUUUAUACAGAAUAAACCUCCUGGAAAUUGAUCUUUUCAGUAGUUCAGGUUAUGUCUGAAAUGGACAUGACUAAUUCAGCUUAGUGUUUUAACUAAAGCUAUGUUUGAUUUUUAAAUACUGUACACUUUAAUAAAUAAACCAAACAAAGCCUCAAUGUAGAACAGUCACUGCCAAUAAUACCCAGUGUCCCUGCAGAUGAGAAUUUAACAAAUGUAUUCCAGUGGUCUGCAGAUUUUCCUCCACAUACAGCAUUUAAAAAACACAUUAAAACAGACCAGUUUCCAGACUAAACUAAUGGAGAAAUUACAAUUCAGUGCAAAAUAUUUUAGACUGCAUUUCAUUCUAGUUUUCCUCAGGUGAAGAAGUGGUUGCAUAUUAUUAAAAAUGUAACAAAAGCAGCUAAUGCUUUCAUAAAGAAUAUUACGUUAGGGAUCCCAUCCCUCCCACCUCCCCCAUCUCUGCCAUAUUUGGAAAACAAAAUAACAUUUCCUAUAGCCAGCAACUUUUUUUUUUAAUGUUACAUAUACUAUUCUCAAGGCACAUCUGAUGAUAUAUUUUAUAACACAGUAGGUGUCAAAGUAUGUUUAACAUAUGAUAUCUUCAGGAUCCCUCCCCUUUCUGAAUUCCAAAUGGAGGAACUGAAAGUGCGAUGUAAAGACUGGCGAUCCAUAUUCUAUCUUUGGCAAGCUUGUACAAGCACUAUUGUAAAAUGUAAUGUAAAAGAACUGUAAACUAGGAACUUCUUCAGUUUAUGAAACACCAUUCAGGACUGCUGCUUCUUGAGUGUUUUCUUCUUUUAAGGUAUUAAUCUUUUCUUCUCCUGGAGUACGCUGUAGCUUAGAAAUUUCAUCGCCAGAAGCACUAGUUGGGCCAUUUAUUGCCUUUUCUGAAGGACCAUGCUCUUCAAUCACAUCUUUUGCCUGCCAAAGGGAGACAACUUUUUCAACUUCUUUAUAAAUGAAAUCUACAGCUGAGGAGGAAAACAGCUAUAUAAACAUUAAUUAGCUAAUAAAUAAUUUUAGUUUCAUAACCAAAUUGGAUCAAAGAAUUAAAAUGUUAAAUUUUCAAAGCAUGUACCAAUGUACUCCACCUCUAUUGGUCUUUCAACUUCUAUCUCUAGUACCUGGCAGUGCUAAAUUACAGAAUAAUCUACUUGUUUACUGAAAACUUGAACCUAAUUUUAACCACUGGAAAGCUCACCAUAUAAAAGACAUAAAGUUAACACACCCUAAGCAAAUAAACACCUAUUUUACUCACCUUUUUUUUUUUGAAACUCAUUUACAUUUCAAAUCCCUUAAAGCAUUUAAAGAAUUGAAACUUAAAAGGUCUACAUCCAUCACUGAGAAGAGGUAUAUAUAGCCUACUGCUCCCCAAAUUAAGCCAACAGUCUCCAUGCCCAAUAUCUUUGGGUAGACUGAAUUUUACAAAUGCUAUUUGGAAUUUUAAAUGAAAAGUAUUCCAGGCUCAAGCAUGCAUAUCUUCAGUUACCUGGGGCCAAGAACAAAAUCAAGAGUAGUCUUUAAAGUAUUAUUUGUCCAAAAAAAAAUAAUAAUAAUAAAAUAUUAUUUGUCUAGUUGGGGAAACAAGUGAUCGAUCACACAGUAAGUUAAAAAGUAAAAAUAAAGCUAAACCAUACCAAAACAAAACAAAACAAAAAAACCCAAAAAGCAAAAACAACAAAAACCUACAGGUUAAAUUCUCCUUACCAUUUCUUUCUUGUUUUUAGCCAAAGUUUCCCUUGGGAGGUUUCUUUGUCUGCUCUGAGACUCAGCUCUAGAAAUAUAAUCUGCAACUGUGACUGUUGAAGAUGAGAAAAAAAUUACAGGUGUUGAAAAAUAUUUCUAAAGUUUAUUUAUGGAUAAAGAGUAAUUUUACUUUUAAGAUAAACUGAUGGUGGGUAACCCAAUUUCAAAAUUUUAAGCUGGGUACCACCUCCAACCAAAAACAAAACUUGAAAAAUAUGUCUGUGAUUUAGUGCUGACAAUAGAAAAUUCCAAGCUGGAGAUCCAAGGAAGCCUAGAUUUAAGUCUAUUUUCACAGAAAUCCAGCCAUUGCUUCUGACUCUACAGUUGUGGGAUAAAGUUUGAUAAGAAAUCCACAACCAGGAAUAGGAAAUGCAGCAUUUUAAGCCCAGUGUUUGCAAUUCUCAGUGGGGAAAAAAAAAUGGGACAUAUCUGGUGCAAAUCAUGGUGUGCUAUAUAUAUACUUCGAUUUGAAAAUUUCAUCAGAUCUGAUUUACUCAAAUAUAGUGGUUGUUUUUGUUUUUGUUUUUUGUUUUAAAGGCUAAGUAAGAUAUCCAAGUGUGGAAUUUCAUGGUUCCUUUCUCACAUUCCACAGUAGAAACCAUUCUGAAUGCUCUAAAAUAAAAAACUACAAGCCAACUGAAGAUGGCAGAACACCACCCUAAAAACGUGGACAAUGAUCCUGGUGGGAAAAGGGCCACCAUUAAUUCAGUAACCACCUCUUCCCUGCUUUGACAAUCUUUCAAGGGACUGAUUGACGUGUUAUGUGUGUUUGCAAGGACAUGGAUGGCAAUAGUGAGACUAAGCAAGCGAACACUCUUCUGUCAACCCAAGUGCAACAUCUCUGUUCUACAGGUACUCUGGCCUCACUUUAUACCUCAAUCCUUUCUCUUUAGGACUUACAAUUUAGAAUUCAUAAUUUGGAGAAAUAUCAAAAUAAUCGCUCUCUUUCAAAGAAUUAUAUUCUACCAGAGACUGGGGAGGAAAAUCUCUCAUUAUAUGAAAUAUAGUUUAUUUUAAUUUAUGGGAUGAGAGCAAGUUAAUGUAAAGAAUGAAAACUCAAGUAAAUUUUAAAGUAUUUAUUAAAAGUCACUAGGGGAGAAAUGGUCCAUCAGGUUCAAAUUAUAUGAAAAUAAGUCAUUUUGAUAAAGAAGCUGGAUGGUAUUUACAAUUCAUUUUUUGUGACCACGAAUUAACAUACUACUAUUUAUAAGAUCCAAAAUUUUCUGAGGCUACUAAAUGAAUCUUAAAUUUCAAAGAAACUACUUAAUUCAGAAUACAAAUCAUUUAUAAGAAAUAGCACCAAAGAUGUAUCCUGUCUAAAACUGCCUCUUUUCUUCCAAAUUGUAAUUUAGAGCUUUAAAAUAAAAAUCUUCACAUAAAUCCACUGUUAAUUUACAAAUACAUUUAGUAAUAGUUUCCAAACCUAGGAAGAGGAAUACUAUCAAAUCCAUUUCAUUAUUAUGUCUAUAUACAUAGUAGCAAAACCAUCCUAGAAAUGAUUUCUAGUUUGGGGAGCACCUUAAUGAAUUAAUUCUGUCUCUAGACUUUAGCCCUCAGUGACACCUGAAGAACUCAGCUACUUGGAAACCAUGCUGCACAAAUUUAUUGCUAAAUUUGAGUAUGUGACAAUUCUUAGAACCCUUCAUCCACUAUGUACACGCACAGCAUAAUAUACUUUGAUAUGGUUAUCAACUAAAUUAAAAGGCACUUAGCUGGCAAGGUAAAAAAUUACAGCACCCCUCCGCCAUAAAGGGAGGUACAACCAAAAACAAACUAAGGUGACUCAAAGCCUGUUUACAGCCAGUCCUUGUAAUAACAAGCCACUUGAAAGGACAUUAAAGUUUAAUAUAAUACAAUUCCUAGGAAAAAAAAAUACAGCAAUUUGUGCAGCAAAAUUUGGGACUGUUGAAUUUCCUAAGGGGCCCAAGUAAAUCAAUUGGACACAAGUGUAUAUAGUCACUUUCUAAGUAUAAUAAGGAAUAUUCACUGCUUAAUUUACACUAAAGACAACAAAAAAUUUUGAGCAAAUGAGAACAAAUGAAAUGAUUGUGUAUAUAAGGGAAUGUUCAUAUUUUUAGAUGAGGCUACUUUUCUAGAAGUACUGACAGGAGCAAGGAGAAAAUGAUGUGCCUGUUCCAUCAAUGCUAUCUUAGGGGGCUUUUAGGGGAAGGACAGGGAAGGCAGGCAAGGAAGACAAGGAUUUCUGAACAGGAGAAGCAGCAAUUCCAAGAACAGAGUAAAACAGGAAUAAAUAUAAGUAUGGAACAAAUCAUCAAAUUACUGGAUACUCCAAAUUACUCAAGUUUCACUUAAUAUCACACAGAAAUCUCUCUGCCUCUUCUUUAACACCACAAUGUUUUUUAUGUCCAUUGACUUGGUUAUAAACCACCAUCCACCUAGUUAACAAAAUUAUGUUGUUCUUUACCCUAUGUUAAGCCCAAAACAAUAGUCUGAAUUUUCUUAUUUAUAAAGUACAGCAGUAUUCACUGCCAUGCCAACUUUACUUUAAACAGUAUAAAUAUGACCUCUUGAUCCAAAGAUAUUUCUAACACUAUAGAGAGAGGGAAGAGAAGGGAAAACAGUAAGAAACAUUUUCUGGAAACUUUCUAUUUUUGACAAUAUUUAAUUCCUUUUAAAUUUACAACUAUCUUUAAAACAUGAAAUUUUCUUCAAGAAUGGGAACACCUUUAAACCCGUUUUCCCAAAUGUCUCUAACAACCGCUAAACUUAAAAUAUUAAAGAUACUUGAAUUUACAUUCUUUAUUUGGGGAAAACACAUUCAAGAAUUUGCUUUGGAAAGAAUGCAGAAAUUGAUUAGUUUAAAAGGGGUUUAUUUUUGGUGCACACAAUUUCUUCAUUGUGAAUAUACACGUGAUUCUCUGUAUACAGGAAAUGGAAUAAUGUUCAAAAUAAGAUAAACACAGCAAACAAAGUUUCUUUGAAGUUACGAAAAAUUAUGACUACUUAAACAUUCUACAACUAAUAAAUAAGUACUAUUAAUUUGAAUAGUUAGUAGGUGUAAGGGAAAAGGCAUCACACUACAAUAAACAAACAAAACAUAACAUGCAUUCCUCUUAUUAAAAAAAGACACUCAUUUAUACUUUUUUUUUAAACUGUGGGUAUUACAAUGCCCACAAAAAUGAGGUGCUGAAUUCAGAUAUAGUAAGCGGCACCAUGCAAAAGUUGCCCCGUUUUGCCAAUCAACCUCAAUCACAGUCUACAACAAAGUCCCUGGGAUGGCAGGCCCAAACUCAAGUAUGCAGAAUCUGCCAAGUGGACAAAAUAAUGGUCUUCUCAACAGUAUUUCCAUGU